GGGUGUCGGUUGGGUUGGGCCGCCGGCAGGUUACGAGCUGGUCGGGCCGCCAGCU
RNAcentral lists this non-coding RNA (55 nucleotides) under Chelatococcus asaccharovorans. RNAcentral's name for it is "nhaA-I RNA". It matches the Rfam family "nhaA-I RNA". Rfam says of the family: Acidobacteria, Alphaproteobacteria, Betaproteobacteria and Gammaproteobacteria, Verrucomicrobia, cand. division NC10. Downstream gene Lineage: Bacteria; Pseudomonadati; Pseudomonadota; Alphaproteobacteria; Hyphomicrobiales; Chelatococcaceae. The record is from Rfam by way of RNAcentral.